ACUCAGGAAUGGACAGUAUCCCAGUCCUCCAGAGCUCAGACCUUUGCUAUGAACAUCACAAAUAUCUAGAAGGAAGAUGCUAUGCAGGCCAAGACACACUCCUGCUCUGUAUGGGCAGACUUCGGGCAGAAACUACAGUGCAUCGGGAAUCCCGUGUGGGUGUCAGGAGAACAGAGCAUGGGAACCUACAAGACCCGGAACAACACCUGGCUGGGACAGGAGAACACCAGGGCAGUGCACAACUGGGAUUUCAGUCUCCCGUGUCAUCUCCUGCGUCCACUGGUGCCACUGAGGGCAGCUAGACUCUGCAGCCAGGCGUCCUGGAUUCAACUGCCUGCCUGGGUCUCACCAGCACUUUCCCUCUUGGUGCCUCAGUUUCCUCAUCUAUGAAUUGGGGAAAUUAACAGUAUUUAUUUCUUGUGGUUGGAUGAAUGAUAAGGGUUACCAUAUAUGAGGUGUUUGCAGCUGUGCCAUGUUAUUUUUGUUAUUUUGUUAUUAUAUUUUAAUAUAUCACAUGUGCAGUAAUUGUAUUAUUAUAGAUGAGCUUUAUGAGUGAGUGUCCUGGUGACGGUUCCUCCUGGGGAGCCAGGACCAGCUUUUCUGGCACCUUGAGGUCCCCUCUUCCCUGUUCCACUCUCCUGCAUUACCCUAUUCUGCUCUGUCUUCAUAUUUUAUACUAUAGAUAUUUAACGUUUAAACAGACAUUUCUGGUCUGCGUUUUAUUUCAAGUGUCUGGGAAGGGAGAGAGUGUGAGGUUCAGGAAAGAAGGAGAGGUCUGUUUCGAUGCCUUGACACAGCACAGAGAAAUCUCCCCUCCUCCCCCAUAUCUCCCCACCAGUUCUCAGUGAAGAACAGAUUCACAGCAGCACUGGAAGGGCUGAGAAGGGAUGGGGGACAUCUGCGGCCAAUGUUCAGGGGCUGACCCUGUGGGGGAGCAUCUGCCCUGCAGAGUUGGAGCCCACAUGUGAUGAUGUAGAGCUGAAGAUGGUAUCCGGGAGGUGACAGAGAGUGCUUUGGGGUUUCCUGAUUANNNNNNNNNNNNNNNNNNNNNNNNNNNNNNNNNNNNNNNNNNNNNNNNNNAUCCGGGAGGUGACAGAGAGUGCUUUGGGGUUUCCUGAUUAUGAAGAGCAGAGGUCAGUGCUUCUGGGGUGAAGUGACUGCUAGGGACAUGUGAAUGGAAUUAAUGCAGAAUAAAUGAGCUGGGAAUGAGGAUGAGUAAAGCAAGCAUCAGUAUCUCCUGCCAUCAGUUCAGACUGAUUGGGGAGGUGGGAUAGUUACUGACUCUGUUGCGUGGUUCUUCCUAACUUCCUGGUUUUGGGGGCACAGGUGGGUGGUGCUGUUCUUGGUCAGGGCAGCCUCAGCUCCAUCCAGGUAAAGCAGUGGAGGCAGAGAGAGUUAGGGGAGCACCU
Molecule: long non-coding RNA, 1409 nt
Filed under: Macaca nemestrina (pig-tailed macaque)
Lineage: Eukaryota; Metazoa; Chordata; Mammalia; Primates; Cercopithecidae
Description: lncRNA (ENSMNEG00000046171.1)
Source: RNAcentral